CUUACCAGGUCCAGACACAGUUAGGAUUGACAGAUUGAGAGCUCUUUCUUGAUUCUGUGGGUGGUGGUGCAUGGCCGUUCUUAGUUGGUGGAGUGAUUUGUCUGGUUAAUUCCGAUAACGAACGAGACCUCAGUUUAUUAAUUAAAUAAAAAAAUAUUAACAAUAUAAGGGUUAGGAGUUUAUUGAUAAAUUACUUGUAAUUUAUUAAUUUCUUUUAAAACUUGUUUAUAUUUAAUUUUAUUUUCUUAAAAAGACACUUGGUGUUUAACCAAGGGAAGUUUGAGGCAAUAACAGGUCUGUGAUGCCCUUUAGAUGUUCUGGGCCGCACGCGCGCUACACUGAUAAAAUCAAUAAGUUUUUUAACAAUCACCUUAAUAGAAAUAUUUGGGUAAACUUUGAAAAUUUUAUCGUGCUGGGGAUUGACAAUUGUAAUUAUUUGUCAUCAAUGAGGAAUUCCUAGUAAACGUAAGUCAUCAGCUUACGUUGAUUACGUCCCUGCCCUUUGUACACACCGCCCGUC
This 520-nucleotide ribosomal RNA is filed under the name Korotnevella stella. RNAcentral describes it as "bacterial SSU rRNA". It matches the Rfam family "Eukaryotic small subunit ribosomal RNA", at positions 1214 to 1677 of the family's 1831-position model. The record is from RNAcentral. Lineage: Eukaryota; Discosea; Flabellinia; Dactylopodida; Paramoebidae.